This 119-nucleotide ribosomal RNA is filed under the name Pteropus alecto (black flying fox). RNAcentral also lists the same sequence under 1 other name. The record is from RNAcentral. Lineage: Eukaryota; Metazoa; Chordata; Mammalia; Chiroptera; Pteropodidae.
GUCUAUGGCCAUGUCACCCUGAACAGGCCCGAUCCUGUCUGAUCUCAGAAGCUAAGCAAGAUCGGGCCUGGUUAGUACUUGGAUGGGAGACCAACUAGGAAGACCAGGUGCUGUAGGCA